GCGCGGGCCGGCAGGUGCAGGAGAUGCCCUGCGGGAUGAGGUGUAACGCUUUUGACAGGGACGAAGGCAAGUGACUGUACGUAGAAUAAGGACCGGCCAACUACGUGCCAGCAGCCGGGUAAUACGUAGGGUCCGAGCGUUGUCCGGAAUUACUGGGCGUAAAGAGCUGUAGGCGGUUCGUCGCGUCGUUUGUGAAAACUUGGGGCUCAACCUUAAGCUUGCGGCGAUACGGGCGGACUAGAGUACUUCAGGGGAGACUGGAAUUCCUGGUGUAGCGGUGAAAUGCGCAGAUAUCAGGAGGAACACCGGUGGCGAAGGCGGGUCUCUGGGAAGUAACUGACGCUGAGAAGCGAAAGCAUGGGUAGCAAACAGGAUUAGAUACCCUGGUAGUCCAUGCCGUAAACGGUGGGUACUAGGUGUGGGGCUCCUUCCACGGACUCCGUGCCGUAGCUAACGCAUUAAGUACCCCGCCUGGGGAGUACGGCCGCAAGGCUAAAACUCAAAGAAAUUGACGGGGGCCCGCACAAGCGGCGGAGCAUGUGGAUUAAUUCGAUGCAACGCGAAGAACCUUACCUGGGUUUGACAUACACCGGAAACCUGCAGAGAUGUAGGCCCCCUUGUGGUCGGUGUACAGGUGGUGCAUGGCUGUCGUCAGCUCGUGUCGUGAGAUGUUGGGUUAAGUCCCGCAACGAGCGCAACCCUUAUCUUAUGUUGCCAGCGCGUAAUGGCGGGGACUCGUGAGAGACUGCCGGGGUCAACUCGGAGGAAGGUGGGGACGACGUCAAGUCAUCAUGCCCCUUAUGUCCAGGGCUUCACACAUGCUACAAUGGCCGGUACAGAGGGCUGCGAUACCGCGAGGUGGAGCGAAUCCCUUAAAGCCGGUCUCAGUUCGGAUCGGGGUCUGCAACUCGACCCCGUGAAGUUGGAGUCGCUAGUAAUCGCAGAUCAGCAACGCUGCGGUGAAUACGUUCCCGG
This 975-nucleotide ribosomal RNA is filed under the name uncultured Nocardia sp. RNAcentral describes it as "bacterial SSU rRNA". It matches the Rfam family "Bacterial small subunit ribosomal RNA", at positions 359 to 1377 of the family's 1533-position model. The record is from RNAcentral. Lineage: Bacteria; Bacillati; Actinomycetota; Actinomycetes; Mycobacteriales; Nocardiaceae.